Manacus vitellinus (golden-collared manakin) is the source of this 1341-nucleotide long non-coding RNA. RefSeq lists it as uncharacterized. The transcript has 6 exons. NCBI's taxonomy places the organism in Eukaryota, Metazoa, Chordata, Aves, Passeriformes, Pipridae. The record is from RefSeq and is a predicted model, not a curated record.
ACAAAGUAUUGGGGCACCCAGGAGGGUGCACAAGGAAAGCAGCCAUUUACUGGUACUGUUAUUUGCACUGUGAUUUGGUACCUGGCUGGUCUGGGAAUUCUGGCACCAAGGACCAGACAGUGGUUUGGACUUCUUUUAGUUAGUUAGGGAAAAAAAAGCCAACCAAGGCUGUGUGGAAGGCAGUUUCUGAGCAAAGGAAUCAUGAGCACCUGCUCCGGCUCUGUCCUCCCUUCUCCUACCACGCUGGCUGUGACUGCACAGGCAUCUGAUGGAGCUGGCAUCUCAUGUUUUAGAGAAUAAACCCAAGUAAAGGCAUCCUGGAUAAUAUCACUCAGAUAGCACCGAUUCAACUCCUGACCUGGCAGACAGUGCUGGGUGUCCCACCGUGCUCCAUUGAGUGCACUAAGCCUCACAUAAGCCCACUAAGCCACUGGGCUACUUUGGCUGCCUACACCAAGCUGCUGGAGUAACCACGCUGCUCCUGGGAUCCUGCCCCAAAGGGGAUUGCUCCAGCCAACCCUGGAAGUCGGGAUGCCUCGGACAUGCCAUGAAGAAGCAGAGAUGCACAGCAUGUAGUGCCACGCUGCGGUCGCAGUUGCUGAGUGUCCGUGAGCUAGAAGCCUCUUGGGGUAUCACAACAACCCUCUCAAGAUGACUGUGCUGGAGCGCUAUGACUGAAUCAAGAUGAACAGACUCAGCCUCUCAGCCAGUUUGGAAACUGAGGCACAAAGAAAAGUGACUCACUCCAUAGCUAACUACCAGAAACUGUUCUAAGGGAUAGAAGCCUUGCAAGAAAACACAAUUUUUCAUUAAGCAAGAGGAGCUGACACAAGUGCCCACUGUAUCCGUGAAAAGUUGACAGUGUUACAGAACGAAGGUUGUGAAAACUGUCCCUGUGAAUAUCGGUGGAGACCACAUUUUGAGAGCAGCCAAUGCCUUCCCCUGCAGAGUGAGCAGAGUUCGGUUGUAGCAGAUCUGCAAGUUUGCUGCAUCUUUUGGUUUGUCUGAAGACCAUCUGAUCUUGCUCCUGACAUGGAUCCCAAGGCCAAGCACAAGGGAAGAGAAGCAUUCUGUGGGGCUGAUGAGCCUGGCCAAACUCCAGCAUGGAGCAGCACAGAACUGCUGUGUGUCCCAUGGGAACAGUCACAGCCAGGUCCUCUGUGUUGUCACUGUGGUAGCCAGGCCUUUGGAUGUCCCUCAAAAUUCUAAUGGGGCUCUGUGGGAAGAGGACAGCAGUGUUUUGGGAAGAGACAACUUUGGUAAGGGAGCAGAUGCCCAACUCCAUCUUGAUGUGAAACCUUAACAAUUACCUUCCGUAACACGCUGUAAGAUCUUCAAUAA